Long non-coding RNA from Cryptomeria japonica (Japanese cedar), 1389 nucleotides. RefSeq lists it as uncharacterized. The record is from RefSeq and is a predicted model, not a curated record. The transcript has 3 exons. NCBI's taxonomy places the organism in Eukaryota, Viridiplantae, Streptophyta, Pinopsida, Cupressales, Cupressaceae.
UUACGGAGGAAGAAAAGAGUUAUCGCCGGCAGAAGCAUUGAGUUUUUAUAGUGAAAGGAAUGGUUUCAGGUGGCAUAGUAUGAGCCAGACUUGUUACAAAAUGUGAAACGGGUUAGUCCUUUGUUGGUGGAAGUUGUUUCCAACAUGCUUACCAUCCAAAUGACACUUUUUAUGCUCCCUACAAAAAAACUCCAAGUUACUCAGCCUCCUGAGUUACAUGUUGAGGGACAAGGUGGAAUCAUGGGACUCCAAAUGGGCACUCUCACCAAUAAUGUGCUAGGGAAAAUAAACUCAUGGCGCAGUCUUUCAAAAAAUGUAACUUAAGGUAUGCAGGGAGACAGGCAUGACAGUCUUUAUGGGAUUGAUUUCGUGGACAUACGUCAAAACAAAAUCCAAUCUACGUUAUUUUUAGAUAAACUGCACCACCUCAUAUGAUCCAGGGGCUAUGGCUCCUGUUUCCACAGAUCUCAAUAUAGGGAGCCUUUCUCUUGAACAAUCAAAGGUGCCGAACGGUCUCUCUUGUUCACUGACCAUGAGGAAUUCAUCACAAAGUGAGCAAAAAGGUAGUACGUUUACUGGUAAAUCAUUCUCUAAGACCACAUCCUUUCUUCUGUUGAGGAAGCCUAUUCAUAUGGUACAGUCACCCAAAAAUCCCAAAAGCAGCAGCAAGAUGGAAUAAACUCUCCAGAUAGGCUAUGCUUUCUGAGCUUCAAAUACACUGGUUCACCUGGGCUUACAAACAACAGCUCAAGUGAUGGGAAUCAAGAAAUAGAUAGGUUUCAUGGACCAGUCAGUGGAAGGACAGAUAGAUUGAAAAUGUUUAACAAUUCUAGCAUAAAUUUCAGCAUGGCAAAAGCUGCAGUGAUAUUAGCACCAACCUUAUUGGAACUUUACAAAGUUUUAAAGAUCAAUCAACCUUUCUAAGAUUGAAGAAGAAUAUAGGAGGAAAGAUAUUAGAGCAUAUAAUUGUCCAAUGUAAAGUCUUUAGUGAGAUUGAUGAAGUAGGCCAUACCCUUGAUCUAACACUCUUCAGUACAUAUGAACAACUUUAUGACAGUCUGGCAAAAAUGUUUGGUAUUGAAAAAUUUAAGCUUUCCAAUCAUGUUCUCUACAAGGACAUUGGCAACACUCUGAGGCAUGCUGGGGAGGAGACCUAUGGAGAUUUUGUGAAAACAGUGAGGAGGAUUACAAUCACUUCUGAUUCAGGCAGGGACAUGAUGUCAAGAUAAUUGAUAGCAUUUAUAAAACUGCAUGCCCUAUUCCUGCAUUAUGAUGUCAAUUAUUGUCUAAUAAGUAAAUUUGUUAUUAUAUGUGAGGGACUGCAUAAUGUGAGAGGGAGUUCUGAAGGCAGACAACUUAGAUAUCAACCUGUGAUUAGGUUUGACGUGA